CUCUGUUGAUGCCCAGAAUGAGGGCAGCAUAGGCAACAGCAGUUCAAUAUUGUCCACAUUGCCCUGCCAAUGUGCCUUGCCCUAACCUGGAGUACCGCAUCCAGAUCUGGGUG
RNAcentral lists this small RNA (113 nucleotides) under Chrysemys picta bellii (western painted turtle). Its description in RNAcentral is "TUC338 (ENSCPBG00000026915.1)". The record is from RNAcentral. Lineage: Eukaryota; Metazoa; Chordata; Testudines; Emydidae.